This 382-nucleotide long non-coding RNA is filed under the name Setaria italica (foxtail millet). RNAcentral's name for it is "long non-coding RNA (SITA_LNC005860)". Lineage: Eukaryota; Viridiplantae; Streptophyta; Magnoliopsida; Poales; Poaceae. The record is from RNAcentral.
GCCUGCAAUACAUGGGGCUGAAAGAGGGGUUGGCUGCAUGACACCGGGAAGGGCACGGCCUCUGCUCGGCAUCAGGGAUAAUUUGGAGUUGGAGGUCGUCGUCGGGGCCUGUGAUGCAAGGAGAUGUGAGGAGGGAGGGCACCAGAGGGGGAAAAAAAACAGGGGGCGGCUCAAUGGCGAGGGCACUUACUGGAUGUCGACGUCGGCCUUCCCACGUUUUGUAAGAUGUGGACGCUGGAGGGGCCUCCACCAGCAGCACCUUGGGGUCUCGGGAUGCAGCAAAACGGAGACGGCAUUCAGUUUUGGUGGAAAGGGAGGAGGAGGGGAGGACAGGGAGGGGGCAGCCAUGGCAAACAUGAGGGAGGAGGAGGCUCGGCCAUGG